UCAGCAGAGAUUGAUACAGAAGGUCUAAUUGCAAAGGACAAGUUCUAUGUCAGUUACGGUGGAGCAGCAUUAACUCGUUCUAUGUCUCAGGUGCUUGUAAACUGCCUGCGCUAUUACCUUAGGAGGCCUGAAACAGAUGAUGAAAGUUACUAGCCAGCGCCCAUCCUUGUAUGUACACUAUAUGUAUAAACCUUGUUUGCCAAUCAAUGCAAGGGCUUGAGUCAUCUCAGUUGUCAUGUAACAUAUUAUGUCUGAGUCGUAAUUUAUGUUAUGCAUUUGUCACUCUCCAUUCUCGUCAUGAAUAAACUAAACAAACUGACAGGACUACUAAUGUCAUGAAAAUGUGCACAAUUUCUUCCUAUUGUCCUUCUAUCGAAAGUAAAACUAGCGGGAUCAGAAGACAUGAAAUAGUUCAGCAUAUAUUAUUAUAUGUGGG
This 436-nucleotide unclassified non-coding RNA is filed under the name Hevea brasiliensis (rubber tree). The record is from RNAcentral. Lineage: Eukaryota; Viridiplantae; Streptophyta; Magnoliopsida; Malpighiales; Euphorbiaceae.